Molecule: transfer RNA, 58 nt
Filed under: Mus spicilegus (steppe mouse)
Lineage: Eukaryota; Metazoa; Chordata; Mammalia; Rodentia; Muridae
Rfam family: tRNA
About the family: Transfer RNA (tRNA) molecules are approximately 80 nucleotides in length. Their secondary structure includes four short double-helical elements and three loops (D, anti-codon, and T loops).
Source: Rfam by way of RNAcentral
UGGCUCAGUUGGUAGAGUGUUUGCCUAACAUGCAUGAGGCUCUGGGUUCAAACCCCAG